CCUGUUUUUGACAGUUUCCACGGUCACGAUCAAACGGAGCGGCAAUGUCCUCACGUGUGACGCCGACGGUGCCGUCAAAGGCUUUGCGUGGCUGACGUUCGGAAACGUGCCUGUCUCACCAAGCGACGGCAAAGUGGGCCCUGAGCCGUCCCAGUUCACUUUGGACGCCAAGGCCAAAGGCCAGUUCAUUUGCAAGGUCACCGCCUGCAAUGACAAAAUCAACUCCCAGUCCUUCGACGUCAGCGGAGCCAAGGGCCCCAUCGGUAGCCCCGGCACGGACCAGGACAACGCUCCGAAACCAACCGCAGCCACCCAGGGCGCGUCCUGCUCUGUCGCUCUGUUGGUGAUAAGCGUCCUCAUUGAGCUCUACGUGGUGGUGAUGAUGUAGACCGAGGUCGGGUGAGUCGCCAUUUUCCCUCCGUCCACCGUGGCUGCGCUGCGCUGCCUUGCCCAACCGGCGGCUGUCUGUCUGCUUUUCCUCAGACGAGAGGUCCUGGAGGCGAGCGGCAUGCGGGCCCUUCCAUUUUUCUUUUUUCAUUCAUUCAGCAAUAAAAAUAAUUCAGCAUCAAGAAGAAAAAAAAAAGCACGAGAAACAGAAAGCAGCGGGAAGGCGGCGGCGGCGGCGUUGACGGCGGCACGAGACCCUCGCUCGUACAUCUGGCGCGAGGGUCACGCCUGAGCGGUUGGCCUUGGACUUGUUUGCAGCAGGGGAAGGGCCGAGAGUGAAGCGGGAAAGCUUUUUUUUUUUUUUUUUUUUUGCUCUUAAUUCAAUUUUCUUCUACUUAUUCCAUUCAUUAUGAUUUACAAUGGAUGAUGUCACUCAACUUUAGCAUUGGGGAGGGAGGGAGGUUGGCAAACGCUCCGCUCCGUCCGGAAGGUGGUCAACGCAAGUGGGUGAGUGAAUUGCAUGGUACAACUUUUUUUUGGUCUUUGACUUAUGCAUGCUUACUACUCAAGUUAUUAUCAUGAGGGAUUAUGUCGCUCAACUUAAUUUAUUAUGUGAUUUACAAUGGAUGAUGUCACUCAACUUUAGCAUUGGGGAGGGUGGUUGGCAAAUGUUUUGUUUGGACGCGCUGGAAGGUGGUCAACGUGAUUGGGUGGGUGAAUUGGAUGAUUAUUUGAUGGUGCAACGUUGCCUUGGUGUCAUGUAUCCACUCGAAACCACAAUAAAGUCUUCAUCCCACU
This is a long non-coding RNA of Syngnathus acus (greater pipefish), 1185 nucleotides long. RefSeq lists it as uncharacterized. The record is from RefSeq and is a predicted model, not a curated record. Lineage: Eukaryota; Metazoa; Chordata; Actinopteri; Syngnathiformes; Syngnathidae. The transcript is spliced from 2 exons.